Molecule: ribosomal RNA, 151 nt
Filed under: Nannizzia racemosa
Lineage: Eukaryota; Fungi; Ascomycota; Eurotiomycetes; Onygenales; Arthrodermataceae
Description: 5.8S ribosomal RNA
Rfam family: 5.8S ribosomal RNA
About the family: 5.8S ribosomal RNA (5.8S rRNA) is a component of the large subunit of the eukaryotic ribosome. It is transcribed by RNA polymerase I as part of the 45S precursor that also contains 18S and 28S rRNA.
Source: RNAcentral
AAACUUUCAACAACGGAUCUCUUGGUUCCGGCAUCGAUGAAGAACGCAGCGAAAUGCGAUAAGUAAUGUGAAUUGCAGAAUUCCGUGAAUCAUCGAAUCUUUGAACGCACAUUGCGCCCCCUGGUAUUCCGGGGGGCAUGCCUGUUCGAGC